RNAcentral lists this ribosomal RNA (543 nucleotides) under uncultured bacterium. RNAcentral's name for it is "bacterial SSU rRNA". It matches the Rfam family "Bacterial small subunit ribosomal RNA", at positions 777 to 1324 of the family's 1533-position model. The record is from RNAcentral.
AAUAGAUACCCCGGUAGUCCACGCCCUAAACGAUGUCUACUAGUUGUCGGGGGGUAACUCCUUCGGUAACGCAGCUAACGCGUGAAGUAGACCGCCUGGGGAGUACGGUCGCAAGAUUAAAACUCAAAGGAAUUGACGGGGACCCGCACAAGCGGUGGAUGAUGUGGAUUAAUUCGAUGCAACGCGAAAAACCUUACCUACCCUUGACAUGCCACUAACGAAGCAGAGAUGCAUUAGGUGCCCGAAAGGGAAAGUGGACACAGGUGCUGCAUGGCUGUCGUCAGCUCGUGUCGUGAGAUGUUGGGUUAAGUCCCGCAACGAGCGCAACCCUUGCCAAUAGUUGCUACGAAAGGGCACUCUAUUGGGACUGCCGGUGACAAACCGGAGGAAGGUGGGGAUGACGUCAAGUCCUCAUGGCCCUUAUGGGUAGGGCUUCACACGUCAUACAAUGGCUGGUACAGAGGGUUGCCAACCCGCGAGGGGGAGCCAAUCCCACAAAACCAGUCGUAGUCCGGAUUGCAGUCUGCAACUCGACUGCAUGAA